UUCUAAAGCUAUGACCGCAGCACUAGAAAAAAACAGAGACUGGAAAUGAGCUUAAGUACUGGACUGCUAAUUGCCCAUUAUGCUUAACUGCAAACAUGUGUCCUGGAGAAGGUUUGGCUCAAGUCAGCUCACACGGUCCCAGACAGAAUCCAGACCAGGAGAUGGUAUAACUGAAAUCUCAUCGGGAUUUACAAGAAGCAAUGACAGCGUCGGUGCUGGAGUUCAUGGAGACCCCUUGUCUCUGCUGCCUUCGGCUGCCGUGUCUUCCCUUCAGCACCGCACCAAUCCAGACUAACUGGGCGCGUCUUUAGGCUGCUGCCACCUUUGUGUUUGCCUGCGGACGUACAGCGAGAAGCCCGGCACCAGCAGACGCGCGGGUAAAACUGGGGUUACACACAGGUAACCGGGGCAGUGAAGGCUCCGCACAGAGCAGAUCGUGGGCUGGCUGCGGGCACCCCCUUCCCCGGACAGCCCAAGCCUCGGCGUUCCCCGUGCGGCG
Molecule: long non-coding RNA, 499 nt
Filed under: Chloebia gouldiae (Gouldian finch)
Lineage: Eukaryota; Metazoa; Chordata; Aves; Passeriformes; Passeridae
Description: Erythrura gouldiae (Gouldian finch) lncRNA (ENSEGOG00005007491.1)
Source: RNAcentral